GGGUGUACUCUCAUUAUUGUGAUGGAUUUGGUCCACCCAAGUGAUCCUUCUUUAUCCUGCCCUUUCAAUGUGGAAGAUAAUAACAAGCAUAGACAGAGAGAGAGAGAGAGAGAGAGAGAGAGAGAGAGAGAACAUGAAGAGUAAACAUGAAGAAAACAUCACAUUCCAUGUCAAAAUCCAUGGUGCUGUUCACAUGGGACUCUGAAAAGAAGUCCCUCUAAAGUUGGCACUCAAAUUGAGCAAACCUCACCGAACAAACACUACCAUCUUUUGCUGCCUCCGUCCGCCGAUAUCGAUGCUAAUAACAGCAACUCUUCCCGCUACUGCUCGAGAGCUCAUCUUCUUCUUCUUCUUCUUCUUGCUACGGUCCCCAGCACUAUCUCACCCCAUGUUCGCCACUUUCUCCGGCACGCCGCGACGCUUUGCAUCCGCUGCUGACACCGCAUCGGGCGAUCGGGAAUCUGUUCGACAUGUUGCGAGCACGCCAUUAAUUACCGCAAACGCUUUAUGCGCGAUCCGCACAGAACACGAACACAACGCAUGGCUUUCCAGAUUGCAGAAUGAUUGAGCUCUCGCUCCGAAAGCAUCAUGUGUGGUCUCAGAAUGUGAGCGGGCAAGAGCUCAAGCGAUUAAGUCGCACCCGUCUCUUCCUUGGACCGGUCACCUACCAAACAUAAGUGUGAGAUCCCUGCGCUCAUCGAGAUCUCCGUCGAGAGAACAUGCAUGGCUGUCCAAAGCGAAAGAAUACAGUGACCUAAGUCGAAUCAUCGUUAGCAGAUUUUGUACCUUUGAUGCUCUUAUCCUAAGCCGAAGAAUAGUUCAAAGGCGCCGAGCGCAGUGCAUCACACGGCAGUGCUCUACACCCUGGACUGUCCUACUCCGAGCCCAUCCCUGUUGCCCUUUAUCCCUCCCCUUCGGACCUAUCUCUCACCUCACCUAAGCAUCCGAAUGUCCCCACCACCCCCCACCACCUUCCCUUGUCCCAACCCCACAGGUCACCCGCAUGCAUAUACAGGCUUGGCUCCUUCUCCUUGUUCGGAGCGGUGAGAGCUACAUGGAGCCUUGGAACACAGCUUCUGGAUGUGAAUCUUUUCAAUGCUUGGUGAUGCGCUUACCGACGAAGCAUCCACUGCUCCUCUUAUCCUCCCGUGUAGUUGUGGUCCGAUUAGCGGUGUGAAGCGAGCAUGCAUCGUGGCGAACUGUUGGGAGUGGGGGACGAGAUCAUGGGGACAUUUGGAACAAAAUCCAAACGAAAGCACCGGAGGCCGAGAUGCUCAGGCUCAGAGACAGCAGGCGUUCGGCCUCGUGCAUGGAUGGAUUCGCUGUGGAUGGAUGGGCGGUAGUCAUUUUGGAUGGAAGCGACAUUUGAC
This 1370-nucleotide long non-coding RNA is filed under the name Musa acuminata (dwarf banana). RNAcentral describes it as "long non-coding RNA (MACU_LNC002329)". The record is from RNAcentral. Lineage: Eukaryota; Viridiplantae; Streptophyta; Magnoliopsida; Zingiberales; Musaceae.